This 253-nucleotide ribosomal RNA is filed under the name uncultured bacterium. Its description in RNAcentral is "partial 16S ribosomal RNA". It matches the Rfam family "Bacterial small subunit ribosomal RNA", at positions 524 to 776 of the family's 1533-position model. The record is from RNAcentral.
UACGUAGGGGGCAAGCGUUGUCCGGAUUUAUUGGGCGUAAAGCGCUCGCAGGUGGUUCGUUGCGUCGUGCGUGAAAGACCCCGGCUCAACUGGGGGGUGUCGUGCGAUACGGGCGAACUGGAGGCCAGUAGGGGGAUGCGGAAUUCCGGGUGUAGUGGUGGAAUGCGUAGAGAUCCGGAGGAACACCAGCGGCGAAGGCGGCAUCCUGGACUGGUCCUGACACUCAUGAGCGAAAGCGUGGGGAGCGAUCCGG